UGGGUUUAGAACGUCGUGAGACAGUUCGGUCCCUAUCUGCCGUGGGCGUUGGAAGAUUGAAGGGGGCUGCUCCUAGUACGAGAGGACCGGAGUGGACGAACCUCUGGUGUUCGGGUUGUGUCGCCAGACGCAUUGCCCGGUAGCUAAGUUCGGAAUCGAUAACCGCUGAAAGCAUCUAAGCGGGAAGCGAGCCCUGAGAUGAGUCUUCCCUGAUACUUUAAGUAUCCUAAAGGGUUGUCGGAGACUACGACGUUGAUAGGUCAGGUGUGUAAGUGCUGUGAGGCAUUGAGCUAACUGAUACUAAUUGCCCGUGAGGCUUAACCAUACAACACCCAAGGGGUUU
Molecule: ribosomal RNA, 343 nt
Filed under: Vibrio parahaemolyticus
Lineage: Bacteria; Pseudomonadati; Pseudomonadota; Gammaproteobacteria; Vibrionales; Vibrionaceae
Description: partial 23S ribosomal RNA
Rfam family: Bacterial large subunit ribosomal RNA
Source: RNAcentral